UUGGAGGGCAAGUCUGGUGCCAGCAGCCGCGGUAAUUCCAGCUCCAAUAGCGUAUAUUAAAGUUGUUGCAGUUAAAAAGCUCGUAGUUGAAUUUCGGGGUCAGUAGAUUGGUCGUGCCACUGGUAUGUACUGGUCUUACUGGCUCCUCCUUCCUGAUGAACCGUAAUGCCAUUAAUUUGGUGUUGCGGGGAGACUGGACUGUUACUUUGAAAAAAUUAGAGUGUUUAAAGCAGGCUAACGCUUGAAUACAUUAGCAUGGAAUAAUGAAAUAGGACGUUCGAUCUUAUUUUGUUGGUUUCUAGGAUUGACGUAAUGAUUAAUAGGGAUAGUUGGGGGCAUUAGUAUUCAAUUGUCAGAGGUGAAAAUCAUGGAUUUAUUGAAGACUAACUACUGCGAAAGCAUUUGCCAAGGAUGUUUUCAUUAAUCAAGAACGAAAGUUAGGGGAUCGAAGACGAUCAGAUACCGUCGUAGUCUUAACCAUAAACUAUGCCGACUAGGGAUCGGAUGAUGUUAAUUUUUUAAUGACUCAUUCGGCGCCUUACGGGAAAC
RNAcentral lists this ribosomal RNA (549 nucleotides) under uncultured Glomus. Its description in RNAcentral is "SSU rRNA". It matches the Rfam family "Eukaryotic small subunit ribosomal RNA", at positions 548 to 1098 of the family's 1831-position model. The record is from RNAcentral. Lineage: Eukaryota; Fungi; Glomeromycota; Glomeromycetes; Glomerales; Glomeraceae.